This 1534-nucleotide ribosomal RNA is filed under the name Staphylococcus aureus. Its description in RNAcentral is "partial 16S ribosomal RNA". It matches the Rfam family "Bacterial small subunit ribosomal RNA". Lineage: Bacteria; Bacillati; Bacillota; Bacilli; Caryophanales; Staphylococcaceae. The record is from RNAcentral.
GGCUCAGGAUGAACGCUGGCGGCGUGCCUAAUACAUGCAAGUCGAGCGAACGGACGAGAAGCUUGCUUCUCUGAUGUUAGCGGCGGACGGGUGAGUAACACGUGGAUAACCUACCUAUAAGACUGGGAUAACUUCGGGAAACCGUAGCUAAUACCGGAUAAUAUUUUGAACCGCAUGGUUCAAAAGUGAAAGACGGUCUUGCUGUCACUUAUAGAUGGAUCCGCGCUGCAUUAGCUAGUUGGUAAGGUAACGGCUUACCAAGGCAACGAUGCAUAGCCGACCUGAGAGGGUGAUCGGCCACACUGGAACUGAGACACGGUCCAGACUCCUACGGGAGGCAGCAGUAGGGAAUCUUCCGCAAUGGGCGAAAGCCUGACGGAGCAACGCCGCGUGAGUGAUGAAGGUCUUCGGAUCGUAAAACUCUGUUAUUAGGGAAGAACAUAUGUGUAAGUAACUGUGCACAUCUUGACGGUACCUAAUCAGAAAGCCACGGCUAACUACGUGCCAGCAGCCGCGGUAAUACGUAGGUGGCAAGCGUUAUCCGGAAUUAUUGGGCGUAAAGCGCGCGUAGGCGGUUUUUUAAGUCUGAUGUGAAAGCCCACGGCUCAACCGUGGAGGGUCAUUGGAAACUGGAAAACUUGAGUGCAGAAGAGGAAAGUGGAAUUCCAUGUGUAGCGGUGAAAUGCGCAGAGAUAUGGAGGAACACCAGUGGCGAAGGCGACUUUCUGGUCUGUAACUGACGCUGAUGUGCGAAAGCGUGGGGAUCAAACAGGAUUAGAUACCCUGGUAGUCCACGCCGUAAACGAUGAGUGCUAAGUGUUAGGGGGUUUCCGCCCCUUAGUGCUGCAGCUAACGCAUUAAGCACUCCGCCUGGGGAGUACGACCGCAAGGUUGAAACUCAAAGGAAUUGACGGGGACCCGCACAAGCGGUGGAGCAUGUGGUUUAAUUCGAAGCAACGCGAAGAACCUUACCAAAUCUUGACAUCCUUUGACAACUCUAGAGAUAGAGCCUUCCCCUUCGGGGGACAAAGUGACAGGUGGUGCAUGGUUGUCGUCAGCUCGUGUCGUGAGAUGUUGGGUUAAGUCCCGCAACGAGCGCAACCCUUAAGCUUAGUUGCCAUCAUUAAGUUGGGCACUCUAAGUUGACUGCCGGUGACAAACCGGAGGAAGGUGGGGAUGACGUCAAAUCAUCAUGCCCCUUAUGAUUUGGGCUACACACGUGCUACAAUGGACAAUACAAAGGGCAGCGAAACCGCGAGGUCAAGCAAAUCCCAUAAAGUUGUUCUCAGUUCGGAUUGUAGUCUGCAACUCGACUACAUGAAGCUGGAAUCGCUAGUAAUCGUAGAUCAGCAUGCUACGGUGAAUACGUUCCCGGGUCUUGUACACACCGCCCGUCACACCACGAGAGUUUGUAACACCCGAAGCCGGUGGAGUAACCUUUUAGGAGCUAGCCGUCGAAGGUGGGACAAAUGAUUGGGGUGAAGUCGUAACAAGGUAGCCGUAUCGGAAGGUGCGGCUGGAUCACCUCCUUUCU